This is a long non-coding RNA of Thamnophis elegans (Western terrestrial garter snake), 864 nucleotides long. RefSeq lists it as uncharacterized. NCBI's taxonomy places the organism in Eukaryota, Metazoa, Chordata, Lepidosauria, Squamata, Natricidae. The record is from RefSeq and is a predicted model, not a curated record. The transcript is spliced from 2 exons.
UUCAAGUUGCCAAGGUUGGGAAACACUGCAUUAAAGGACAUAUUGCUAAGGUUUGCGUGCAGGUUUUUGUGCUGUUGUGGUUUUUUUUUGUUUUUGCGAUAACCCACCACUUUCCGAAGCCUUUUGUGCAGAUAAUGCAACGUUUGCAAUAUAAAAUAAAAAGGGGGCAUGCAUUUUUAUCUCACACAUUCUUAUUUCUUUUCCCACAGUCUUAAAACAGGGCCAUCGUUGGUUGUCUCCAGGCGUGAGAAUUGUUCGUAAGACGGCAAAGAUGGGCUUCGCAAAAAAAACAUAUUUUUUUUCAUAUAAUUAGGACAUAGAAUCAUAAAGCUGGAAGGGACCUCAGAGAUCUUGUCCAAUCCCUCCACCCCCUGCUCAAGGCAGGAGACAUUAUAUCAUCCCAAUCAAAGGGUUGUCUGGUCUAUUUUUGGAAACCUCCACUGAUGGAGCAUCUACAACUCCAGGAGAAGUCCAAGGAGAAGUGGUCCAGAUUGAACAUCCAUAAGGCUAACCCAUGCAUCUACUGGAUGGUUGAAAUAAUGAUCCAGGAAGAUACUCAGGCAUGUUUUGAGGGCAGUGUUUGUUCAACUAGUGAUGCAUAGACCAAGAGACACACAAUGUUCAUCUCUUCACCCUGAAAGGGCCUGCCAGAGGACAAGGUAUAUUCUCCAAAGUAGAUUUUGGCGUCUCAAUAGCACAUUUCCUGGAAUCAGGAGUGGAACAGGAUCAGCAAGAUUUGAGCUUAUGUAUCUAUUUUGGUUUGGGCUUAGGGAAAGUUGGCUGUCAAUGACAGUUCAGAAGAGAAGAGAAAUAGAAUAGAGUACAGUUGAAGAGAAGAGUAGAAUAGAAUAGAAUAGAAUAGAA